AGGUUUUGAUUCUGAUUGUUCGCUUGUCUCUGCAGCAAACCCAUUAUCAGGUUUCCUCUCCAACUCUCUUCUCUAGCUUCUUUUGAUAGUGAAAGAAAAUUAGUGUUGUUGAUGAAAAAUUUGGGUAUUAUUGAAUGUGUUCGUCGAAAUGUCCCAAAGAGAAUCUCUCUUGUUUUAUAUAAAACUAUUUUGCCCAAUUCUCUUGUGAUAUGUUACUCUUCCGUGUCUUUGCGUUUAAUCAUAUAUGUAGAUUGUGGAAAAUUUACAUUUUUUAAGAGUUGAAAGAAGACCCUUUUAGUGUAGAAGUUAAAGUAUAUGUAGAAUGUUAUGGUAUGUUACUGUGUUUGCUUGAUCUCUUUGCAUCAACUUCUCUUUGUAUAUGUAGAUGGAUUCCCAGUCAGUGAGAGUACUUGCAGGACUUGAAGAGCAACUAGAUAUGGACAGAGAGGAGAAUGAAGCUGAACUUCAAGGAGCCCACAGUGAAACUCAAGUGACUCAACCAACAAAAACGGUAUUUCAGUCUAACAAACGCUUAAAGGCUGAUGUUUGGAAGGAAUACAUACCGGUAGGUGUAGGGAUAGAUGGAAAGAACAGAGGGCGUUGCAUUUAUUGCUGUAAGGAGUUAGUAAUAGAAGUUAAGAAUGGAACAUCAUCUUUGAAACGGCAUUUAGAAAUCUGUCCAGUGAAGCCUGAAAGUGAUGGCAAUGCUGAAAGGAAGUAUGAUCACAAAGUAAAUCGCGAAAUGACUAGUGAGCUUAUUAUCUAUCAUGAUUUCCCUUUUCGGUAUGUGGAGUACGAGAAGGUUAGGGCAAGAAUAAAUAUCUGAACCCAAAGUGUGUGCCUAUAUGCCGACAAACCGCUGCUGCCGAUGUCUUCAGGAAAUAUGAGAUGGAGAAAGCAAAGCUCAAAAGACUUUUUGCAAAUCUCAAAAGCCGAGUGUGUUUUACGACAGAUCUUUGGUCAGCUCGCACGGUGAUGGGGUACAUUUGUUUGACUGCCAACUAUAUUGACAAUGGUUGGACCUUAAACAACAAGAUCUUGGCGUUUUGUGAAAUCAAGCCUCCUCACACGGGUGAUGAAAUAGCUAAAAAGGUGUUGGGUUGCUUGAAGGAGUGGGGCUUGGAAAAUAAGGUAUUCUCCUUCACCUUAGAUAACGCUACUAGUAAUACUAGUAUGCAAAAGAUUCUUACACAUCGUCUUCAGAUGGUUGCUGGAAAUAGAUUGCCAUGUAAUGGAAAGUUCUUACACGUGAGGUGUUGUGCCCAUAUCCUAAAUCUUAUAGUGAAGGAAGGAUUAGAAUUAGCUAAUAGUCUGUUGGAGAAUAUCCGCGAGAGCGUGAGGUUUGUGAAAGCCUCUCAAUCAAGGAAAGAUGCUUUUGCUGCUUGUGUUGAAAGUUCAGGGACUACGGGUAGCUCAGGAUUGUCUUUAGAUGUAUUUACUCGCUGGAAUUCAACCUAUGAUAUGCUCGCAAGGGCUCUUAAGUUCCGUAUGGCGUUUGCUAGUUAUAAAGUUUGUGAUAGGAGCUAUAACACGCUGCCUUCAGAGGAAGAAUGGGAACGUGGGCAGAAAAUUUGUGACUUCCUGAAGCCUUUCAGUACCAUCACAACAUACUUCUCAGGUGUGAAAUAUCCAACUGCGAAUAUAUACUUCAUUCAAGUUUGGAAUAUCGAAUUGCUAUUAAGGAAAUAUGCAGAUUGUGAUGAUGAGGAUUUGAGGUUAAUGGCUAGGAGGAUGCAAAUCAAAUUUGCAAAGUACUGGGAUGAUUAUAGCAUAGUUUUAGCGAUGGGAGCUAUGUUGGAUCCAAGGUUCAAGACUCAGAUACUCAAAAAAGCUUUUGAUAGGUUAGAUCCAACUACUUCCGAGAAAAAAGUUAAAGUUAUAGUGCAGAAUCUGAAGGAUCUGUACGAAGAGUAUACGAGCAAGCCUGUGACGGGUUCAUCUUCUAGUUCUAACUAUUCAUCAACACCAGAUGACCUUCUUAAUGAAUCACCCCUUGAUGAUGAUUUGAACGCUGUAAGAUUACUUAAUUUACUUAUUUUCUUGUCUUGAUGAGUAUAGUUGAAAUUGUCUGAUUAUAUUGAUGUUCUUGUCUGAUUACAAUAUAGGAUCUUUUUGAACUUGAAAGGAGUAUUCACCAUGGUUCAGAUAACACAAAGACGAGUUUGGAAUUGUAUUUGGAAGCCGAGGCUUGAGUUAAAAGCUUUUGCAGAUAUAGAAGUUUUGAGCUAUUGGAAAGAAAAUGGGCAUCACCAUGGUGACUUAGCUGUGCUAGCAAUGGAUCUUCUCAGUAUCCCAAUAACUACAGUUGCAUCAGAGUCCGCUUUCAGUAUCGGUGGUCGUGUAUUGACCCCAUACAGAAACCGCCUUUUUCCAGACAAUGUGCAAGCAUUGCUUUGCACUCGUAACUGGUUGCGUGGUUAUCCAGAACUUGAAGGUAACUUUACAGUGUGUGCAUCCAUGUGUGUGCUUCAUGCAUUCAUUGUUCGUUGUCUUUGAUGCCUUGACUUAGAUAUUAGCUACAGCGAUUAAAUAUUCCUCUCUGUCUCGUCAUUGGCUGUAAACGUAGACAGCAGUAAUAAGAUUAUGUCUUUCUUAUGGCUUUGGACAUUCAUGAUUAGUCAUUGCAGUUGUAAGAAUCUGAUUCUUUGAAGACUUCUAGUUUCUGGUGUUGUUGAAGCAUUAGUAAAGAGCAUAUUGAUGUGCCUUUGGUGACAAUUUGUUGUUCUUCACCACCAACUUUGGUGACUGAUGCUUUGGUGCUUUGUUUGUUUUGGUAUUCUAGGUGAUAUUGAAGAUAAUUUCGAUGAGGAAGCUACAAAUGUUGCAAGUUCUUCAGGAGUAUGAGAGAGAUUCAAGAUUCAAGAAGCUACAAAUGUUGCAAACUACUAUUUAUUUUAAUCUGAAUAAAAAUACUUUUGCUACUUCUUUACAAAUGU
Molecule: long non-coding RNA, 2936 nt
Filed under: Brassica napus (rape)
Lineage: Eukaryota; Viridiplantae; Streptophyta; Magnoliopsida; Brassicales; Brassicaceae
Description: long non-coding RNA (BNAP_LNC005451)
Source: RNAcentral